This 263-nucleotide unclassified non-coding RNA is filed under the name plant metagenome. Its description in RNAcentral is "partial contains small subunit ribosomal RNA, internal transcribed spacer 1, and 5.8S ribosomal RNA". The record is from RNAcentral.
UUUCCGUAGGUGAACCUGCGGAAGGAUCAUUAUUGUAUAACCGAGGUGCGAGGGCUGUCGCUGACCCGAGAUGUCGUGCACGCCCGAGUGCCCUCACACACAUCCAUCUCACCCCUAUGUGCACCACCGCGUGGGUCCCCCUUUGGCUUGUUCGGAGGGGGGCUUACGUUUUCACACAAACUUUGUAUGCAGUGUAGAAUGUAUUUUUUGUUUUUGCGAUCACGCAAUCAAUACAACUUUCAACAACGGAUCUCUUGGCUCUC